UGGUGGGUAGUUUGACUGGGGCGGUCUCCUCCCAAAGAGUAACGGAGGAGCACGAAGGUUGGCUAAUCCUGGUCGGACAUCAGGAGGUUAGUGCAAUGGCAUAAGCCAGCUUGACUGCGAGCGUGACGGCGCGAGCAGGUGCGAAAGCAGGUCAUAGUGAUCCGGUGGUUCUGAAUGGAAGGGCCAUCGCUCAACGGAUAAAAGGUACUCCGGGGAUAACAGGCUGAUACCGCCCAAGAGUUCAUAUCGACGGCGGUGUUUGGCACCUCGAUGUCGGCUCAUCACAUCCUGGGGCUGAAGUAGGUCCCAAGGGUAUGGCUGUUCGCCAUUUAAAGUGGUACGCGAGCUGGGUUUAGAACGUCGUGAGACAGUUCGGUCCCUAUCUGCCGUGGGCGCUGGAGAAUUGAGGGGGGCUGCUCCUAGUACGAGAGGACCGGAGUGGACGCAUCACUGGUGUUCGGGUUGUCAUGCCAAUGG
Molecule: ribosomal RNA, 477 nt
Filed under: Enterobacter hormaechei
Lineage: Bacteria; Pseudomonadati; Pseudomonadota; Gammaproteobacteria; Enterobacterales; Enterobacteriaceae
Description: partial 23S ribosomal RNA
Rfam family: Bacterial large subunit ribosomal RNA
Source: RNAcentral